This 492-nucleotide ribosomal RNA is filed under the name uncultured bacterium. Its description in RNAcentral is "partial 16S ribosomal RNA". It matches the Rfam family "Bacterial small subunit ribosomal RNA", at positions 29 to 507 of the family's 1533-position model. The record is from RNAcentral.
AGUGAACGCUGGCGGUAGGCCUAACACAUGCAAGUCGAACGGCAGCACAGUAAGAGCUUGCUCUUACGGGUGGCGAGUGGCGGACGGGUGAGGAAUACAUCGGAAUCUACUUUUUCGUGGGGGAUAACGUAGGGAAACUUACGCUAAUACCGCAUACGACCUACGGGUGAAAGCAGGGGAUCUUCGGACCUUGCGCGAUUGAAUGAGCCGAUGUCGGAUUAGCUAGUUGGCGGGGUAAAGGCCCACCAAAGCGACGAUCCGUAGCUGGUCUGAGAGGAUGAUCAGCCACACUGGAACUGAGACACGGUCCAGACUCCUACGGGAGGCAGCAGUGGGGAAUAUUGGACAAUGGGCGCAAGCCUGAUCCAGCCAUACCGCGUGGGUGAAGAAGGCCUUCGGGUUGUAAAGCCCUUUUGUUGGGAAAGAAAAGCAGCAGGUUAAUACCCCGCUGUUCCGACGGUACCCAAAGAAUAAGCACCGGCUAACUUCGUG